AUCAUUAGAGGCAUCGCGUGUCAUUAGAUUCUUCAUUGUGCUUCAGGCGGCACAUAUCGAUGAUGCCACUUAGCUGGAGUUAUUUUCAUAAUGACCCGGCAAUUAUUUAACUAGAGCUGUAAAGGUGUUUAGGUAUAGUUGGACUAGAACGUGAUGGGGUUGAUAAUGGAGAAGAAAUCAUUCCAGUGAAUGUCAUUCAUUGUUUGUUUAGUGGAACAGUGAUUUUCUCAUUUGUACCGGUGGACAAAAUGAAUAUUUACCGAGAGCAACGAUUCCAACAUUUUUCGCCACAUUUAUUUAAAUCCAACAAAACCAGUUAUCUACGCGGAAGGAAAGACAAGGGUCUUUGCUUUCUUUAUUGUCCAGUAACCAGAGGUAAAGGACAUUAUGCAAAGUCAAUGCUCCACCAGUUGGGUAUACCCAGUGUUUACUGAAUAUCAGCGUGGGUGAACGAGACGGCGGUUGAUGCGUAAUUAAAAUAUAAAUCACGCUUUCUAAGAAGGAGUGGAAAAAAUCAUCUGAAUGGAUAUGUCGUUAGACUAAAUGAUAAUUAGACAAUGGAUAAGUAUUAACGGUUUUUCCAGAUUAUGAAACACCUCUGUCUCACUGUAACAACUAGUGUCUACAAGACGUGAAUAAAUGGAUCUGGAUUAAGAUAAUUACGAUAUCUAGAGAGUAGACAAAAAUGUCUUAAUUUCAAUUGGGAAAAAUCAACGUCUUUCAACGCCAGACAAAAAAGGUCUUUACCUACUGACUACCUUUUUUAGGAUGAGGGUUACAAAAACGAGGCUCUUAAUCCAUAAUGAAUCUAUUUUCGACACUGGCUUUUCCACUGCUUUUGUUCUUACUAGAUCAAACCAUUACCAAUGCAAAAGACAGUACUGACUCAGAAAUCUAUCAAGGUAACCCAAAUCGGCUAUUCAUAUAAUUCAAACAUGAAACAUUGGUAAUGAGAAUUGCCUCGGAAAACUAUCCGCUGGUCGAUAUAACAACCUGACAGCCGCAGGUAUCUGGAAUAUCUUUGAAUACAUUUUGAAUUCGAUUGAGGUAUUGACUAAGCAAGAACAAGAAAUAUCUGGAUAAUGGGGGUCGGAAUCAGUGGGUCCAAGGCUGCAGGACCCCGGAACAAUUUCGGAUGGAAAUCUCAUUUCCACUGUCUCGGACUGAGAUUGCAUCGCAAUCUAGCAACUGUUGCAGUCGAGAAAGAGACAAUGAGAUAAGUCGUUAUUGGAGAUGUUGAAGAAAUGAGAUGACAGCUUUGAGUCUGUCCUCUGUUCAUUCAAUUUCGGGUGGAUUGAACGCAUGAAAAUCAGAAGACGAUAAGGGAACAAGGAAUAAAGUCAAUGGGAUUAGUUUCGCUGAUUGAAUUUUAAUGCAAUGUUUUCUUUUUCUUGAUGGAAAUCGACAGCGAGGUCCCUAACCCCGAGAUUAAACGAGAAUAGUGGAAAGCGGGUGGUUUGAAAAAAAAAAAAAAAUAACCAUCAUCGUGGUACCCUUGCACAAAAGCCAGUGUGGGCAGACUUAAAGGUUAGUCAGGUUAGUCAACAGGUGGCUAACCUGCCAUUGCCAGAGGGAGAUGGAAAAUACCAAGGGAAGGAAAAAAAAGAGGAAUGAAACGAGGGAGAGAGGGCAACACAACCUACACAAACAAUGCGUCGAAUGCACAAAUACAAAUCUCUCCCUUCUUGGAUAUAACUUAGGUACGAGCAG
This is a long non-coding RNA of Diachasmimorpha longicaudata, 1710 nucleotides long. RefSeq lists it as uncharacterized. The transcript is spliced from 4 exons. Lineage: Eukaryota; Metazoa; Arthropoda; Insecta; Hymenoptera; Braconidae. The record is from RefSeq and is a predicted model, not a curated record.